Molecule: ribosomal RNA, 497 nt
Filed under: uncultured bacterium
Lineage: Bacteria
Description: partial 16S ribosomal RNA
Rfam family: Bacterial small subunit ribosomal RNA
Source: RNAcentral
GAUGAACGCUGGCGGCGUGCCUAAUACAUGCAAGUCGAGCGAACGGACGAGAAGCUUGCUUCUCUGAUGUUAGCGGCGGACGGGUGAGUAACACGUGGAUAACCUACCUAUAAGACUGGGAUAACUUCGGGAAACCGUAGCUAAUACCGGAUAAUAUUUUGAACCGCAUGGUUCAAAAGUGAAAGACGGUCUUGCUGUCACUUAUAGAUGGAUCCGCGCUGCAUUAGCUAGUUGGUAAGGUAACGGCUUACCAAGGCAACGAUGCAUAGCCGACCUGAGAGGGUGAUCGGCCACACUGGCUCUGAGACUCGGUCCAGACUCCUACGGGAGGCAGCAGUAGGGAAUCUUCCGCGAUGGGCGAAAGCCUGACGGAGCAACGCCGCGUGAGUGAUGAAGGUCUUCGGAUCGUAAAACUCUGUUAUUAGGGGAGAACAUAUGUGUAAGUAACUGUGCACAUCUUGACGGUACCUAAUCAGAAAGCCACGGCUAACUACGUG